Molecule: transfer RNA, 66 nt
Filed under: Ceratobaeus sp. MM-2013
Lineage: Eukaryota; Metazoa; Arthropoda; Insecta; Hymenoptera; Scelionidae
Description: tRNA-Ser
Source: RNAcentral
AGUUAAUUACCUUAAAUUAAAAUUUAUAUUUUGAAAAUAUAAGAUAGAAUCUUCUUCUAUUAACUU